Molecule: ribosomal RNA, 407 nt
Filed under: uncultured bacterium
Lineage: Bacteria
Description: partial 16S ribosomal RNA
Rfam family: Bacterial small subunit ribosomal RNA
Source: RNAcentral
AUUGAACGCUGGCGGCAGGCCUAACACAUGCAAGUCGAGCGGAGCGGCGGACGGGUGCGUAAUGCCUAUGAAUCUGCAUGGUCGUGGGGGAUAACGUCCGGAACCGGGCGCUAAUACCGCAUACUAUCAGCAUCGCCUAGGUCGGAUUAGCUAGUUGGGGGGGUAAAGGCUUACCAAGGCGACGAUCCGUAACUGGUCUGAGAGGAUGAUCAGUCACACUGGAACUGAGACACGGUCCAGACUCCUACGGGAGGCAGCAGUGGGGAAUAUUGGACAAUGGGCGAAAGCCUGAUGCAGCCAUGCCGCGUGUGUGAAGAAGGUCUUCGGAUUGUAAAGCACUUUAAGUUGGGAGGCGUUACCAACAGAAGAAGCACCGGCUAACUCCGUGCCAGCAGCCGCGGUAAUAC